AUUGAACGCUGGCGGCAGGCCUAACACAUGCAAGUCGAGCGGAUGAAGGGAGCUUGCUCCUGGAUUCAGCGGCGGACGGGUGAGUAAUGCCUAGGAAUCUGCCUGGUAGUGGGGGAUAACGUCCGGAAACGGGCGCUAAUACCGCAUACGUCCUGAGGGAGAAAGUGGGGGAUCUUCGGACCUCACGCUAUCAGAUGACCCUAGGUCGGAUUAGCUAGUUGGUGGGGUAAAGGCCUACCAAGGCGACGAUCCGUAACUGGUCUGAGAGGAUGAUCAGUCACACUGGAACUGAGACACGGUCCAGACUCCUACGGGAGGCAGCAGUGGGGAAUAUUGGACAAUGGGCGAAAGCCUGAUCCAGCCAUGCCGCGUGUGUGAAGAAGGUCUUCGGAUUGUAAAGCACUUUAAGUUGGGAAGAAGGGCAGUAAGUUAAUACCUUGCUGUUUUGACGUUACCAACAGAAUAAGCACCGGCUAACUUCGUG
Molecule: ribosomal RNA, 484 nt
Filed under: uncultured bacterium
Lineage: Bacteria
Description: partial 16S ribosomal RNA
Rfam family: Bacterial small subunit ribosomal RNA
Source: RNAcentral